GGAAAUUUUCAUUUAGAUCAAGAAACAACUUAAUUAGACGUUAAUCGCGGAAAAGCUAAAGUAGCGGAAUAAACUUCAGUUUCGUGUUUCUGACUGUUUCUAUCUCGGUAAGUUCGUAAGUUAGUUUAAUAGUUAAUUGAUUAAUGUUUCAUAAUUAAAUUCUUAUCCAUAUAUGAUUGGUUCAUCAAAUUCAUUGGAUUGAGUAAUGAGAAAGACCAUGAUUGAAAG
RNAcentral lists this long non-coding RNA (228 nucleotides) under Gossypium barbadense (sea-island cotton). RNAcentral describes it as "long non-coding RNA (GBAR_LNC014083)". The record is from RNAcentral. Lineage: Eukaryota; Viridiplantae; Streptophyta; Magnoliopsida; Malvales; Malvaceae.